Molecule: long non-coding RNA, 452 nt
Organism: Drosophila montana
Lineage: Eukaryota; Metazoa; Arthropoda; Insecta; Diptera; Drosophilidae
Exons: 3
Source: RefSeq, a predicted model, not a curated record
AAUUACAAUAAGUCCGUGCACCAACAUGUGUUGCCGUCCACCAGCAAAUACCCUGGUGGUACCGACUAUAAAAGAAAAAAAACCCUUAAUAUUGUAGUCAGUAGUUAAUUGAAAUGCGUUUAAGCGGGUUCUUUGUGGUAUUGGCCGUGUGGGUAAUUCCAGUCGCACUUGCGAAAGGGAACAGGACUCUUGGAGAGCUAGAUUCUAUGAUUAAGCCAACCUAUACGGAGAUAAGGCAAAAGAUGCUUGGAGAUUUGGUAAUGAGUCCCUCAAUGACAUCCGAACAGACAAAUAUUUUGAAAAAAAAGCAAACCUGCAAAAAAAUUGGAAUGACCUGCGACAUUGCCGAGGACUGUUGCACCCGUCUCUGUUUGAAGCGUUAUAAUGAAUGCGUGAUUUAGAAACUGGUUGGAUAGAACUCAGAAACAAAUAAAUUAUUAAAUAAUUAAAAA